This 253-nucleotide ribosomal RNA is filed under the name uncultured bacterium. RNAcentral's name for it is "partial 16S ribosomal RNA". It matches the Rfam family "Bacterial small subunit ribosomal RNA", at positions 524 to 776 of the family's 1533-position model. The record is from RNAcentral.
UACGUAGGGUGCGAGCGUUGUCCGGAAUUACUGGGCGUAAAGAGCUCGCAGGCGGUUUGUCGCGUCGUCCGUGAAAACUUGGGGCUCAACCCCAAGCUUGCGGGCGAUACGGGCAGACUUGAGUACUGCAGGGGAGACUGGAAUUCCUGGUGUAGCGGUGAAAUGCGCAGAUAUCAGGAGGAACACCGGUGGCGAAGGCGGGUCUCUGGGCAGUAACUGACGCUGAGGAGCGAAAGCGUGGGUAGCAAACAGG